This 425-nucleotide ribosomal RNA is filed under the name uncultured bacterium. Its description in RNAcentral is "partial 16S ribosomal RNA". It matches the Rfam family "Bacterial small subunit ribosomal RNA", at positions 354 to 796 of the family's 1533-position model. The record is from RNAcentral.
GUGGGGAAUUUUGGACAAUGGGCGCAAGCCUGAUCCAGCAAUGCCGCGUGAGUGAUGAAGGCCUUAGGGUUGUAAAGCUCUUUCACCGAUGAAGAUAAUGACGGUAGUCGGAGAAGAAGCCCCGGCUAACUUCGUGCCAGCAGCCGCGGUAAUACGAAGGGGGCUAGCGUUGUUCGGAUUUACUGGGCGUAAAGCGCACGUAGGCGGUUUGUUAAGUCAGGGGUGAAAUCCCGGAGCUCAACUCCGGAACUGCCUUUGAUACUGGCAAGCUAGAGUCCGGAAGAGGUAAGUGGAACUCCUAGUGUAGAGGUGGAAUUCGUAGAUAUUAGGAAGAACACCAGUGGCGAAGGCGGCUUACUGGUCCGGAACUGACGCUGAGGUGCGAAAGCGUGGGGAGCAAACAGGAUUAGAUACCCCAGUAGUCC